ACUCCUACGGGAGGCAGCAGUAGGGAAUCUUCCACAAUGGACGCAAGUCUGAUGGAGCAACGCCGCGUGGAUGAAGAAGGUCUUCGGAUCGUAAAAUCCUGUUGUUGAAGAAGAACGGUUGUGAGAGUAACUGCUCAUAACGUGACGGUAAUCAACC
Molecule: ribosomal RNA, 157 nt
Filed under: uncultured Lactobacillus sp.
Lineage: Bacteria; Bacillati; Bacillota; Bacilli; Lactobacillales; Lactobacillaceae
Description: partial 16S ribosomal RNA
Rfam family: Bacterial small subunit ribosomal RNA
Source: RNAcentral